AAAAUUAUGACACUGAUGGAUUUCCAUAGAGUUACGAUUGAUUGGAUCAAUUGCAACUCCUUGUAAGACAGGCCCCAGGCAUCGUUGCGACAUUACAGGUUCUAACAGGGCCCCUGUUAUUUUACCUGUAACAUCGUUUCAGUGCCGCCGCUACUGGCCAACACUGAACCAACAAUUGAAGGUAGACCUACCAUCAGUACAUACAAGACUGAGUCAAUUCUAGACCAAUAUCAGACCAAUAGGAAAAUCAUAAUUAGACCAGCUUUAUGAAACGGGCCCCAGAAUAAAAAGAAGAAGAUGAUAUUGUUGGUUUGGUCAGGAUUUGGUGAAAAGCUGGUUUGUAUUGUGACUGAGUAUCUUAGAUGAUAAUAAACCACGAUAAUAAGCAUGAUAAUUAUAAACCUUAAAAUAAAGUUUGAUAUCAAUCAUAUCUAAUUGAUACAUAUUUGAAAAAUCUCAAUUGCACAUCAAAAAACCCCAACAAAUUUGAUACUGGAAGCAUGUGCAUGUAUAUGGUACUAAUCUGUGCUUCCUUUUCUAAGGAUAUAUAGCUGUACAGAAAAUCACAUUUAUUUUUUCUUCUCUUCAUAUUACACAUAAAUCAUUUCUUACAUAUAUGUUUUGAUAUUGUCUUUAUGUUUUUUAGUCUGUACAUGUUUGCAUAAUCCAUCCCUGUAAGACGAGUAUGUUGUAAAGAUGUUUUGGAAAAAUGAUGUAAAAGUCAGAGUCUACUUCAAUUUUUGUUUUGUACACUGCUUACGUGUAAAGUUUUCAAGCUUUUUCCCCCUACAAUUUGUGGAAAUAUCAUGUGGAAGUUUACAGAAGCAUUGUAAUAUCUUGAGCAAUUUCAUUGAGUAUGAUAUGUGAUAGUAGCUAGCUUGGAGCUGUAUAUUCACAAUGUUUUAUAUUACUUUGUCGAUGAAAUUUCAGAAGCCCUGUGCCAAAAAUAUUUUGUUGAAAAAACACAUUUUCAUUAUAUUGCUCAGCAAACUAAAAUGUCACAUCAAACUUUUGAUUUAAUUGGGCUAAUUAAAUUCAGCAGCAAUAUUGAUUGUGAUCCACAUAGCAGGAGUGAGGCUAAUUCAUGUGAAAAUACCAACAUAUUUCCUGGCCCUCUUGUUUUCACAAGUUAUGUAUCCACAGCUGUCUCCCUGGGCAUAAUUGCACCUUCAGCGAUUUUUAUUGUCUUUCGGAGUCAUAUACACAACCAGUUCUACAUUUAAUAUCAAUUCAAAGUGUUCUUGUUGAUUGUAUUAUCUUAACAAUCCUUUUGAACUGAAUUCUUCAUUGAACCUAUUGCUUCAACUAACUCUAGACUGAUCAACGUUAGUACAUUGUAUUUGAUGGUCAUAUUAUCGGUCCUUCGUUCAUGUAGUUGGGUUUUAAUUUGUUUGACUGUAGCAGAACAAUGAUAAAAGCUUAUUCACUGCAUCAAGAAAAACAACAAAAAAACAUUUGGAAUUUAUUUCAAUAUAGCCGUUACCUACCAAAUUCCAAAUAGCUUUUUCAUAGUUACCAUCUGGUUCCAUUAGGCAGUGGAAUAACCUGUUCACUACUGAAUACUAUAAUGCCCAUAGACUUUUUACAGUGAUCACCCAGUUCUAGUACGCAGUGGGUUAACCUGUCCACUUCUGAAGACUGUAAUGACCAUAGACUUUGUACAGUGAUCACCUGGUUUUAGUAGGCAUUAGGUUAACCUGUCCACUUCUGAAAUCUCUACUUCAUAUAAGAUUUGAAUUGGGCACAGGAGCCAAUGGAUUCAAGGCCAGCUAAAACUAUUGACAGCAAGUAAAUAAAGUUUUACAAAGCAUCUCUCAAAACAAUUUCUUUUCAUAUGAUUAUGUAUUCAAUUGACUACUUAACCUUUUCUUCAUUCUGAAGUAUUCACAUUUUGUAACUGCCUCAUAUACGGUUGCUUUGGUUUACAAAUUACAUGUAAUGCAACUAACAUGUUCAUUUCUAUUCACAAUUGAACGUCAUUUCAUCAGAAUGCUGUUAUAAUGAUGACAUAAUGAUAUCGAACAGUACAUGUUUUUACUUCGUAAUUUCCAUAUAGUAUUUCAGUGUGUUAUUUAUUAGAAAUUCAUUGUAGUAGCAUGUUUUCUCCCUGCUUCUCAAAGAUAUGGUAUCCCUGAAUACUGACCAAAUGAUUAUCAAAUGAGAAAAGAAAAUUUGUCAGCCUUUGUCUGUACAUGCUUCAGUAUUUCACUGAAAAUAGUCCUAUUUGAAAUAAUAUCAUAACACAAUUUAUUUUCUCUUGCCACGUUUUUUUAUUUAAUUGUCUAUUUCCUGAACGUGGUUAGUUUAUGGCAACGGCUCAUGAAAAGAAUUCAUGCAUACAUACGUGUACAUGUAGAUUUCAUAGUGAAAUGAACACCAUUUCUAUGGUGUCUUAUGUGCUUGCAAUGUUUACAAAUUUCCUAAAGUUUCAGCAAACUUGGCAUUGAAUUACCCGAGCCCUUUGAAAAUCAAUUCCCAAUCCCAUUCAGGAGAAUUUACAUUGAAUUAUGAAGAAAUGAGGUCUAAAUUUAGCCAAGAUUGAAAGUAAUAAAAAAAUUUACAGCCACCACCAAGUAUUUGCUCUUAGCUAUUCAUGCUUACAUUCGAGCCAGUAGAAUGUAUCUUAUAAAAACCUCAAGGGAGUGGUGAAUUUCAUGUAGUAGAAAUGUUGCUGAUUUUCCUGAGAUUUUAGAGUACAUGACAAAAAUUCUUUGAUGUUCAUUUGUGUUCUAGAGAGCAAGGCAUUUUUGUUAGAUUUUAAAAUUUGAUUGUAAGUACUCUGGGGAUUCGCUUAUUUGUUUUAUGUUCAUUGAGCUUGUCUUGCGUGGGGCUUUUGUUCACAUUUUUUCUUUUAAUAUUUCCCAUUUCUGAUGAUCUCCGCUUGAAUGAAUAUAUAUCUAUUCCUUUUCCCCACCCCCUCUCUUGGUCUCUGCUCUCUCCUCCUUUGCACUCUUUCUGUUAUGAACAUUUCACUCUCUCGAUAUUUCCCAUCUUCUCUUCUUAUCUCUUGUCCCCUCUUUACCACCCUCUCUCUCUCCCAAUUCACUCUCUGCUUCUUCUCCUUUCCUCUCUCCAAACCUUUAUCGCUCUUUCACCCAUCUACCCUUCUUAUUCUCUCUUCAUAUUUUUCUAUCUCUUUUCUUUACAACCCCCUUUAUUCCAUCCUCACUCCCCUCAUCAUAAAACUUUUGUAGAAUGAACACAUUUCAAAUUUCUGAAUACAUGUACUCCUCUUUUUUGCUCUCUCCUUCAUGCUAUCUCCCUCUCUCCGUUUCGAACAAUUUCACUCUCCUCUCGAUAUUUCCCCCUCUUUUCUUAAAUCUCUUUUCCACUCCUUACCACUCUCUUUUCCAAUUUACCCAUUCCUCUAAACAUUCAUCCUUCUAUUACUUAUCUUCCUCUUAUUCUCUUCAUCUGUCUCUAUCUUUCUUCUCCACUCUCUCCUUUUAUUUCACCCUCCCUCAGCUCCAUUAUAGCUCACAGAGAAUAAACACAUUUCAAAUUUCGAAUACUCCUCUCACUGGCGUUUCACCAAUUUGACUCAUCCACUAACACAAUUACAUUUAUUUUUAUGUUCACGUGUCAGCCACGCCCCCUUUUUUACAUAAUGUCACAUGUAUUUUGCUCAAGUUCAUUAUGUUUACACUGGCUGGAAAGUAUAUUUAUAUCCCAAUUUUACUUAUAUUUGUUUCUGUUUUUUAUUCAUUGUAUUUUGUUUCUCCACUCAUAUAUACUUUUGUAGGAAACCUUGGUGCUGGAUUGAGUAUGCUAGUUUGAUCUAGUAAUUACCAAUUAUUUUAGUUUGUUCAUGUUUUUUAUUACUUAGACAAUAAUGUCCUCUCAAAGUAAUUACAUGUAUGGUUUCAUUUGUUUAAUCAAAGAAGCUUAGCAACAUAUGUUUUCCCCAUAUCCAUUAUAUUACUCAAAAUAUUUUCAUGUACAGUUUAUGCUGUUUUAUACUAUAUUAUCAAUAAAAUGAUAAGCAUGA
This 3988-nucleotide long non-coding RNA is filed under the name Lytechinus variegatus (green sea urchin). Its description in RNAcentral is "uncharacterized LOC121426214". Lineage: Eukaryota; Metazoa; Echinodermata; Echinoidea; Temnopleuroida; Toxopneustidae. The record is from RNAcentral.